GAUCUCAAAUCAGGCAAGACUACCCGCUGAACUUAAGCAUAUCAGUAAGCGGAGGAAAAGAAACUAACAAGGAUUCCCUCAGUAACGGCGAGUGAAGUGGGAAGAGCUCAACUUUAAAAUCUGGGAGGAAUUUCCUCUCCGAAUUGUAGUUUAUAGAGGCGUUAUCUGAUCUAAUCAUUGUGCACAAGUCCUUUGGAAUAAGGCGUCACAGAGGGUGAGAACCCCGUUUGGGCACGAUCGGUUAGAUCUUCAUGAGGCGCUCUCUGAGAGUCGAGUUGUUUGGGAAUGCAGCUCAAAAUGGGUGGUAAAUUUCAUCUAAGGCUAAAUAUUGGCAAGAGACCGAUAGCGAACAAGUACCGUGAGGGAAAGAUGAAAAGAACUUUGAAAAGAGAGUAAAAUAGUGCGUGAAAUUGUUAAAAGGGAAACGA
Molecule: ribosomal RNA, 428 nt
Filed under: uncultured fungus
Lineage: Eukaryota; Fungi
Description: eukaryotic LSU rRNA
Rfam family: Eukaryotic large subunit ribosomal RNA
Source: RNAcentral